Mauremys reevesii (Reeves's turtle) is the source of this 1455-nucleotide long non-coding RNA. RefSeq lists it as uncharacterized. The transcript is spliced from 5 exons. Lineage: Eukaryota; Metazoa; Chordata; Testudines; Geoemydidae. The record is from RefSeq and is a predicted model, not a curated record.
UCAUAUAUAUAGCGUGCAUCCCAUCCAAGGCUGGCUUUAGGAACUGUGGGGCCCGAUCUGAAUACCCAGCGGCAGUCCAAGUCUUCGGCGGUGGGGGGUCUUUCACUUGCUCUGGACCCCCCGCCGCCAAAAUGUCACCGAAGACCCGGAGCAAGUGAAGGACCCUCCACUGCCAAAGUGCCUCCAAAGACCUGGACCGCCACCAGAUCAUCAAUUCUGGCAAAGGGAGAAAAAACACUACUUGGUGUCACAAUGUGACUUUUUGUCAGAGGGCUGCUCCAGAAUCCAAGCUGACAAGUGCACAAGAGAAUUGCUUGCAGGCCAGACCUUCCCACAUUGUGCAAGAACUUGAAACCGGAAUUGACUAGCUUAUUUCCAUUGUCAAACCUAGGAGAAAUGCUAAAAAAAUAUCAGAUCUUGCUUGCCAACUCUGUUUAUAUUGCAAAAACUCAUGGGAUUAUAACUUUACAAAAGGUGACAGAAACAUGGCCAAUUGAGAAGGGAAGGCAUUUUUAGUAGACCACCUACAACUCUGCUUGUUGUGUUUGAACAUCUGUUUAACUCAAGCUUCUGAAAAAAACACUUGGUAUCAAAGCUCUUAAAAGAUUUUAAGGUUUCAGAAACCAGCCUUUCAAAUGAGGGAAGAAGCAGUUCUCACUUGAGUUCCCUGGCCCUUCAAGGAAUCUUCAAGCCGACGUGUGGAAAACUAGUUCAACAGCACAAUUUUUAUUCCCUCUUAGCAGGUCACCUUUAAAGUGAUUUCAAGGAGGCACAGUGUUUGAACCCAGACUAUUCAAUCUGAUGUGCUGACUCAGUCCUGGGGAUUUCUCAGAGUGGUUUUCCUGGUCUACCAACCAGCAGGGGAGCUACGCAGUGGACUGAAACCAGCCCGGCUGCGCAAUGACAGACAGCCUAAUACUAAAUACAUUUUUUAAAAACUUUAAGAACCAUGAAUAGACUCCAAGUGUGCUAACUAAAAUAGUGAACACACAUGACCAUGAAGUGAAAAGGACAUAGGAGAACAAAGUUUCCAGAUCUCCUGUUCACAGUGUUCUAAAAGGGCAGUGUACAUCCGAAGCUUGGUCUGACCUUUCACUGCUGGAAGGGAGCUAGCAUCCCAGAAAGUUCCUAGUUAGAUGCUGAAAGCAUGUGCACUCCCUGGAGGGGGUAUCUAGCAAUCUAAGGAGGAGUUGGAUUUCUUGGGAUAUUAGUAUAGUAAAUAGGGAUUUUGUGAAGCUUCAGGAAAUAUAUUGAGGGUAUUGCAUUACUGGGAAGACCAGUGCUUUGAAAACUUGCCAAAACCACAAAUCUAGUUGUGCAUUUCCUUAAUCAGUAGUGACUUACCUAAUUUAUCUGUAUAAUCAAGUUUGAAAAGAAUCAUUGAUUCGUGGCACAAAUACAUAAAGAUAUAAACUAGAGGGAAUCUAAAUUUGUGCAAGUUUAGUCUGCAGAGAU